RNAcentral lists this ribosomal RNA (445 nucleotides) under uncultured bacterium. Its description in RNAcentral is "bacterial SSU rRNA". It matches the Rfam family "Bacterial small subunit ribosomal RNA", at positions 331 to 793 of the family's 1533-position model. The record is from RNAcentral.
CCAGACUCCUACGGGAGGCAGCAGUGGGGAAUAUUGCACAAUGGGGGAAACCCUGAUGCAGCAACGCCGCGUGAGUGAAGAAGUAUUUCGGUAUGUAAAGCUCUAUCAGCAGGGAAGAAAAUGACGGUACCUGAGUAAGAAGCCCCGGCUAACUACGUGCCAGCAGCCGCGGUAAUACGUAGGGGGCAAGCGUUAUCCGGAUUUACUGGGUGUAAAGGGAGCGUAGACGGCGAUGCAAGUCUGAAGUGAAAGGCGGGGGCCCAACCCCCGGACUGCUUUGGAAACUGUAUUUCUUGAGUGCUGGAGAGGCAAUCGGAAUUUCGUGUGUAGCGGUGAAAUGCGUAGAUAUACGGAGGAACACCAGUGGCGAAGGCGGAUUGCUGGACAGUAACUGACGCUGAGGCGCGAAAGCGUGGGGAGCAAACAGGAUUAGAUACCCCCGUAC